This 645-nucleotide ribosomal RNA is filed under the name Maltzanella escherichi. RNAcentral's name for it is "Helix escherichi partial small subunit ribosomal RNA". The record is from RNAcentral. Lineage: Eukaryota; Metazoa; Mollusca; Gastropoda; Stylommatophora; Helicidae.
CCAAAAACGGAUACUCCUUUAAAGACCUAUGUUAAUGUGCUACCUUUAUCCACUGCCAGGCAUCAUGGACUUUUCUGAUUUUUUCACCAGUUGAUAAACUUUAUAAUCUAAGCAAUUAGGAAUAUGCUACCAAUUAAAAUAACGACUAAUAAAGUGCCAGCAGUCGCGGUCAUACUUUAGUUAUAAAUAAAGCUAACCAGGACACAUGCAGGUAACUUAUCCUCCUAUAGUGAAAUAUGGAAUUUCACCUUCUAUACCUUAAACCUUGACAAACACUGACUACAAACAGGGAUUAGAUACCCCUUUAUGCAGUACUUAACUAAACUCCUGGGCACUACUAUUAACAAAUUGAAACCCAACUAACAUGGCGGUAGUUUAAAUCUUUUAGGGGAACUUACUAAGUAAAUGAUAACCACCAAGGAAAUUACCGUUGAGUAAUAUUUUACAUACCGUCGUCGUCAGACAUCCUUAAAUAGGCUGUCAAAUUACUCAUAAGGUAAAAAGACAGAUCAAGGUGUAGACAACCUCAACGUUUAAGCGAGUUACAAUAUUGAUUAUUUUCGUAAAAUAGUUUUAUCACUAUUUAACGCUGGACUUAAUAGUAAUACUUAUAAAGUAUACAGUAUGAAUAGUUUUAAACUGUGC